Molecule: long non-coding RNA, 106 nt
Organism: Cebus imitator (Panamanian white-faced capuchin)
Lineage: Eukaryota; Metazoa; Chordata; Mammalia; Primates; Cebidae
Exons: 4
Source: RefSeq, a predicted model, not a curated record
AAAGCAUAUUGUACCAUGUGCAUAGGUUAUAUGCAAAUACUAUACCGUCUUAUAUAAGGGACUUGAGCAUCGGCAGAUUUUGGUAUUGAAGGGGGUUCUGGAACCA